Molecule: ribosomal RNA, 253 nt
Filed under: uncultured bacterium
Lineage: Bacteria
Description: partial 16S ribosomal RNA
Rfam family: Bacterial small subunit ribosomal RNA
Source: RNAcentral
UACAUGUGGGGCAAGCGUUGUUCGGAAUUACUGGGCAUAAAGGGUGCGUAGGCGGCUUGUUAAGUCAGGGGUGAAAGUUUUCGGCCCAACCGGAAAAUGGCCUUUGAUACUGGCGAGCUUGAGUGCGUGAGGGGUAACCGGAACGAGUCGUGUAGCGGUGAAAUGCGUAGAUAUGACUCGGAAGGCCAAAGGCGAAGGCAGGUUACUGGUACGCAACUGACGCUGAGGCACGAAAGCGUGGGGAGCAAACGGG